RNAcentral lists this ribosomal RNA (497 nucleotides) under uncultured bacterium. RNAcentral describes it as "partial 16S ribosomal RNA". It matches the Rfam family "Bacterial small subunit ribosomal RNA", at positions 28 to 507 of the family's 1533-position model. The record is from RNAcentral.
GAUGAACGCUGGCGGCGUGCCUAAUACAUGCAAGUCGAGCGAACGGACGAGAAGCUUGCUUCUCUGAUGUUAGCGGCGGACGGGUGAGUAACACGUGGAUAACCUACCUAUAAGACUGGGAUAACUUCGGGAAACCGUAGCUAAUACCGGAUAAUAUUUUGAACCGCAUGGUUCAAAAGUGAAAGACGGUCUUGCUGUCACUUAUAGAUGGAUCCGCGCUGCAUUAGCUAGUUGGUAAGGUAACGGCUUACCAAGGCAACGAUGCAUAGCCGACCUGAGAGGGUGAUCGGCCACACUGGAACUGAGACACGGUCCAGACUCCUACGGGAGGCAGCAGUAGGGAAUCUUCCGCAAAGGGCGAAAGCCUGACGGAGCAACGCCGCGUGAGUGAUGAAGGUCUUCGGAUCGUAAAACUCUGUUAUUAGGGAAGAACAUAUGUGUAAGUAACUGUGCACAUCUUGACGGUUCCUAAUCAGAAAGCCACGGCUAACUACGUG